GAGGACGAUGGAAACAUGCUUUUGGUGAAUAAAUAUUGUGGCUUGAUUUUUCCACUUGAAUAAUGCAUAUGCUGCCAUUUCGACAGCAGGACAGAUCAUCAGCCAGGACAGAACUGAGACUUGAGCUCAACAUCUGGAGCCUCAUGAAUAAAUGGAGGCUCCAGGACUUGAGUUCAACUUUAGAUAUUACAGACGGGAGAGAGUUCAGACUGGGAACUUAAGAUGCUUUUGCAGACGGUGUGGCGCUUCAUUCUGGAGCCUGUACAGGACCGAUGGGCUGCUCUGCACGAGCGAGCCAGGUCUCUGAGCGGAGCAGCCGGACUCAUUGGUUUGACUGCGAGCAGAGGUGGGGUGCUUGGAGCUUUGUUACGGUGUGUGCUUCGGACCACAGUCCCUGCGCUGCGCGUGUCCCAGGAGAAUUGUGUCUCUAACCAGCUUUGGGACGUGUGAGCCGGCGGCUUUUGAAUGAGGAAAAAGAGCUCCGAACAGUCCUGAGAAACCGUGCAAACAAUCAUGUGGAUUUGUGUUUCCAAUCGUGACCAGACAAAAUAAAGGCUGAUGUUAUUCCCACAUAUUUACGUGAAGUCAACAUGCACAUCACUGGAUUGUCUGCACGGAUUUUAAGUGCAUCCAAAGCUAAAUGUCUAACUCUAACCCUUCUCUGGGUCUGUGCGCUUAAAAAUAAAGCACUGAGUGCACGGAUUUAAAACAUUAUGAGUAGAGAUGCAACGAUUCAGUCAAACCACGAUUCCAAUCAUAGCUUUAAAGUUACAUUUUCGUUUUUUUUCCAGAUUUUUUUCUCAACACAAUUAAAAGUAUUUUAAGGCCAAGUAUGUUUUCUUUUUGCCCCUUAGAUCAAACUGUCGGUUGUCCUACUAACAGAAAAGAUCCAAUUCAAACAAACAAUUAUAUAUAAUACUGAAAUAUUGAUCACAUAUC
This is a long non-coding RNA of Oryzias melastigma (Indian medaka), 939 nucleotides long. RefSeq lists it as uncharacterized. The record is from RefSeq and is a predicted model, not a curated record. NCBI's taxonomy places the organism in Eukaryota, Metazoa, Chordata, Actinopteri, Beloniformes, Adrianichthyidae. The transcript is spliced from 3 exons.